RNAcentral lists this ribosomal RNA (449 nucleotides) under Clostridium magnum DSM 2767. Its description in RNAcentral is "bacterial SSU rRNA". It matches the Rfam family "Bacterial small subunit ribosomal RNA", at positions 182 to 648 of the family's 1533-position model. The record is from RNAcentral. Lineage: Bacteria; Bacillati; Bacillota; Clostridia; Eubacteriales; Clostridiaceae.
UUUUUCGCAUGAAGAACUAAUUAAAGGAGUAAUCCGCUUUGAGAUGGACCCGCGGCGCAUUAGCUAGUUGGUGAGGUAAAGGCUCACCAAGGCGACGAUGCGUAGCCGACCUGAGAGGGUGAUCGGCCACAUUGGAACUGAGACACGGUCCAGACUCCUACGGGAGGCAGCAGUGGGGAAUAUUGCACAAUGGGCGAAAGCCUGAUGCAGCAACGCCGCGUGAGUGAUGAAGGCCUUCGGGUUGUAAAGCUCUGUCUUUUGGGACGAUAAUGACGGUACCAAAGGAGGAAGCCACGGCUAACUACGUGCCAGCAGCCGCGGUAAUACGUAGGUGGCGAGCGUUGUCCGGAUUUACUGGGCGUAAAGGAUGCGUAGGCGGAUAUUUAAGUGAGAUGUGAAAUACCCGAGCUUAACUUGGGUGCUGCAUUUCAAACUGGAUAUCUAGAGUG